ACAAUUUCCAUUUCUUUGAUACCCGUCUUUUUUCUUUUCUUUUUCUUUUCACAUCCACACAACCAUGAGCCUUUUCUUUGUUUUUUUCUUUCUUUUCUUUUUCUUUUCUCUAUGGUUUCAAGGGUGAUUUCUUUUUGUUGUUUCUUUUCAUACUUUCACCCUUUCAUAAAAACUCACUUCUCCAAGUUUCUAAUCAACCCUUUUUUUUUUCUUUACUCUCCCCAACUUUAGAUUCCAUAACCAAUUUUAU
Molecule: long non-coding RNA, 250 nt
Filed under: Lathyrus oleraceus (garden pea)
Lineage: Eukaryota; Viridiplantae; Streptophyta; Magnoliopsida; Fabales; Fabaceae
Description: Pisum sativum (pea) long non-coding RNA (PSAT_LNC033453)
Source: RNAcentral